ACCUCUCUAACAAGGUGCAGAGCUUAGCUGAUUGGUGAACAGUAAUUGAUUUCCUCUUUGUUCACAGUGGCUAAGUUCUGCACCUGAAGAGAAGGUG
RNAcentral lists this microRNA precursor (97 nucleotides) under Notamacropus eugenii (tammar wallaby). RNAcentral describes it as "microRNA 27b (ENSMEUG00000017280.1)". The stretch from base 10 to 88 matches the Rfam family "mir-27 microRNA precursor family". The record is from RNAcentral. Lineage: Eukaryota; Metazoa; Chordata; Mammalia; Diprotodontia; Macropodidae.